Molecule: non-coding RNA, 398 nt
Organism: Anas platyrhynchos (mallard)
Lineage: Eukaryota; Metazoa; Chordata; Aves; Anseriformes; Anatidae
Source: RefSeq, a predicted model, not a curated record
UGUUUUGACAAGAGUGACUUAGAGAGUGCCCUAUGGGGCAGAGGGCUGGGAUGCUGAGGAGGUUGGACCCAUGAGCAGAUGUGCUGGUGACCUCUGCAGCUGGGUGAGGGUGCAGGAGUGAGUCCUUGUACAUCUCCCAGCUGCCUGGCAGUCAACAGGGAGGAGAGUGGUGCUGCUGAAUCACGUGGGAGUCUGUCCCAGCAUUUGUUCUGAGAGUCUAGCUUCUUCAUGCAAAGUAUCUCUGGCUUGGAGAGGACCAGCGUUGUCAGAGGAAUUCAAAUGUUGGCUGUCCGAGCUGAGCUAAAGCCCAGGAUGGUCGUGGCACAAGGGUACUACAAGCCUUCUCCCAGCCCAGUUGGUGGUGUUUUAGGAGGAUCUUCAUCCCCGUUUGGUGUGAG